CUCAAAACUGGCGGUUCGUUCCAAGUGGGAAACGGUUGCCGCCCAAAUGUUCACUAACAGCAAGUGGGACACAUUGGAUCCAGUUUCUUCAGCUGUGCCACACAUUUCACUGCGCGUUGAUGACGAUCCCGACGACGGUGGAGGCAGCAAGGACGACCAAGCUCGCCGGCUGACAAUGCGCGAGAUUGAGGAGAAGAUCGUCCAGUAUCAGGAUUAGUUUGAGUACGCCAUGAGGCAGGUGCGCGACGACUGGAACUUCGGCGAAGAAAUCGCUCACUACCGGCGAUCCUCGCCGUCCGAGUACGUACCACGAACAAUUCGUCCCGCCGGCCCAGUUCCCCCCUCUACUCCAGCAGAAGCCGCAGCAAGCGCGAAGCGUCCCUUUCAUUGCUUCAAACCAGCAGAAAGUCCACCCAUCGGUGAGGACUUUCAGAAUGGACAGAUUUCGGGCGAAGGUCGAGCAGAUUUAUCAACCAAUUUCUGAUGCAAUCGUUCUCGUCGCUGAUUACAUUUAGUGUUUCAUGCCCACCAUGGCCGCAACGGACGUGGACCAAGAAAAGGACACCGGAUAGGCGGAUUAAGCGGAAAGAAAUCCCCAGCAACAAGGUAACACACAGAAAUCUCAGAUGGAGUUUGAGACGGAAUCGUCCAAGGCAGCGACGGUCAUGACGUUGAGAACGGCUGGACUACCCUGGAAGAAUCCAUCGGUGUGUGUUAUUGAUUGUGGAACGGCCAACGAGUUCGUUGAAACCGAGUUUAGCGGAGAACAAUUCGUCGUUGCUGGAUCGAUUUGGUUUCCGGAAGAUCCGGCGCCAGCGGGAUGACGGUGGAACGGUGUUGUCGGAAUCUGAGCUGGAACCGCAACAGGCUGUCUUGUUGGCUAAACGAACAGAAGAUGUACGGAUGACGACCAGGUAAAUUCUUCGCAAUUCAAAAAGAUAUUUUUUUUUUCUAAUUCUAGAAUUCCGUUUCUAACGCAACAACCGGUACGUACACGGAAUCGGUUGCUGCGAUUGAGGCGGAAUUCGUAAACGAUCCAAAUUGAAUUCCGUUUAAGAAUUCCGAUUGAUUUGACUGCGAUGGACUUUUUGUUGACACUUUGAGUUGACCCAUUUACAUUGUUAAAAAUAAUGUUUAUUUUGUUCUGUCAAACAGUUCAUCAUGCUCACCCUCAAGUAAAAAUCAACUAGGGGAAAUAUACCCAUUUUAAUCACCUCAAGCCGUUCGACUAAUUCUCAUCACUUUUGAAGUUUUCCGCUAUUAAAUCAACGUUUUUAGAUACAUCAACAAUGGAGAGUUGCUUGCUCACUUUUAUUUGAGCUAUUUGUUACUUUGGAUUGUCUGUGCUUUGGAACAGCCAAAAACAAUUUAUGAAAGCUGGAAUUCAUGACCAAAGUGUAGAUAGGCCGAUAAUAGAAAUAGGCUGAGAAAGAGUAUAUUUCCCCUAAUAGGUCACGAUGGCUCUUUUGAAACUUGAUACGAGAUUUUAGUUUCUCUGCUUUGCUGAAAAAUUUAACUGUCAAUGUUGAUUAUGAUUAUAAUUAUUAUUAUUUAAAUUUUCUUUAUUUAUUUUCAGAAAACAGCAACAUAAGAUCAACAUAACUCAAGAAUGUACUUUAUUCAACGUAGUGAGGAAUAUCACCAGCCACGUAUUGGACAAAAAAGAUAAGUGAACAUUUUUAUCAUGGUGUAAACUAGAGAUUUGGCGAAUUGUUUUUAUUUACAGGUGUGUCCCUCAGUUACGCUUCGGACCUGAACCUGAUUUUUGAAGCAGCGGUGUUACCGUAGAAGACGGUGUAGCACGACAGCGCAACUUCCCAUCGGCAGAACUCCAAUUUAAGCAAAAUCGGCAGCUGAAGUUUAUGUCAAACCUGGACCCAUUUCACUAGACCGACAACUUUCACAGAAUGGCAGAGAUGGAGCUGUUCGAGGAUUGGCUUCUGCGAUUGCUACUAAAAUUCUGGACGAGGUUUACUGCCACUCGAAGCCAAUCUGUUCCAUAUGUAAUUUUGUCAAAUUUGAGUUAAUGAUAUUAGUCCUAAAUCAUGUGAACUAUCAGAAAACUAAUAAUAUUGAGUACUUUAUUCCAGAAAACGAAGAUAGUCACACUUUUUCGUGAAAUCCUAACACUUAGCCUUAAGGGCGGGACACAUUUGCAUUACGUUUUUCUCAGCUUGUUGUUUUUACAAAUGGAAUGGACUAGAUUCGAGCGGCAGUUUACAACCUAGUUCAACCCUGUGCUGCAUGAGAUGUCUCAUUGAGCUAUGAUGUUAGAAUUAUAUAAAAAAAAAACACUUUUUCUAAGAUCAUAUUGUAUUUUUUUCCCUUAUGUUGAAUAAGUCACUUCUUUAGGCACUCGCGCCCUCUGAAAUAAACAGCUACAGCAAGGUAUUAGGAUAAUUUAUGAACCAAUAUAACGAAUCGAAUAAAGAAAUUAUUUGGCCAAAGUAAAACAAAUGAGAUUUUUGCUCAAUAUUCCGAAAAAUCCUUCCUAAAAUGAUGUUAUUUCAAACUGUUAUAAUAAUUUCCCAAAUUGUAA
Molecule: long non-coding RNA, 2539 nt
Organism: Culex pipiens pallens (northern house mosquito)
Lineage: Eukaryota; Metazoa; Arthropoda; Insecta; Diptera; Culicidae
Exons: 2
Source: RefSeq, a predicted model, not a curated record